CCCACACAGUGAUCUGAGAGACUCAGUCAGUCCUGUGCAUCUGGCAUCUGGUAAAAGCUUAAUAAGUGAUAGUUGCCAGAUAAGUGAAUGGCUCACUCGGAAUUACAGUUCAUCAUUCAUUCAAAGAUUUCUAGGAAGCCAACUCUACUCCAGGCUCUGUGCUAGACACUGCAGAUGUUACAGGAAAGCAUGGCAGAGAUUUCCAGUCCAUGGCCAUCUGAUUCUGGGCUGUGGUGAAGCAGAGCAUCAUGGGGGAAGGCAUGGUGAGACACAGCUGUUUGCCUCGUGGUGUCUGAGAAGCAGAGAGACAUAGAGGAGGAGUUGGAGAGGGAAGAAAGAGAUCCCCAACUGAUAAGUUUGAGCACAUCAGAAUCUCCUACUGCACUGUCUCUGUAGAGACAGGCUCCCAAGCAGCAUUGAUCCCCUGGUUUAAACUGCACAGCCUGAAACUUCCCAGAAAGUAUGCUGCCAAGCACUGGAGAUCAUGUAGGGAAAAGGGGCCAGUCAAAGAAACACACCCUGAGCAGAGCCAAAGAAACACACUUUGGUCCUGCAACCAGAACCAAAGAAAUGUAC
Long non-coding RNA from Mesocricetus auratus (golden hamster), 576 nucleotides. RefSeq lists it as uncharacterized. Lineage: Eukaryota; Metazoa; Chordata; Mammalia; Rodentia; Cricetidae. The transcript is spliced from 3 exons. The record is from RefSeq and is a predicted model, not a curated record.